RNAcentral lists this ribosomal RNA (478 nucleotides) under uncultured bacterium. Its description in RNAcentral is "partial 16S ribosomal RNA". It matches the Rfam family "Bacterial small subunit ribosomal RNA", at positions 28 to 506 of the family's 1533-position model. The record is from RNAcentral.
GAUGAACGCUGGCGGCGUGCUUAACACAUGCAAGUCGAACGAAGCACCUUGAUUUGAUUCUUCGGAUGAAGAUCUUGGUGACUGAGUGGCGGACGGGUGAGUAACGCGUGGGUAACCUGCCUCAUACAGGGGGAUAACAGUUAGAAAUGACUGCUAAUACCGCAUAAGACCACAGCACCGCAUGGUGCAGGGGUAAAAACUCCGGUGGUAUGAGAUGGACCCGCGUCUGAUUAGGUAGUUGGUGGGGUAACGGCCUACCAAGCCGACGAUCAGUAGCCGACCUGGGAGGGUGACCGGCCACAUUGGGACUGAGACACGGCCCAAACUCCUACGGGAGGCAGCAGUGGGGAAUAUUGCACAAUGGGGGAAACCCUGAUGCAGCGACGCCGCGUGAGCGAUGAAGUAUUUCGGUAUGUAAAGCUCUAUCAGCAGGGAAGAAAAUGACGGUACCUGACUAAGAAGCACCGGCUAAAUACGU